AUGGUAUGCAUCGGUAGGCUGAGGGCGCUGGUGCUUCGUGCGGCGGCGGGCGCGGGCAGGCGCCGGUGGGCCAGGGUCCUGUGCGGUCGGGCGGUCGAUGUGUGCGUGACACCCCGUCCGCGCGGGCACGGUUGGCGUGGAUUCCGGGCGGUGGCUGGCGCCAGGACGAAGAUGAUGCUCGAUUCCUCCGACUCUGACUCCGGCGCUCCGGCGGGCCAGCUGCAGCUGCAGCGCCGCGCGGCUGCUGCUGGGACCGAGCCGCAGGAUGGAGGGUACGCCAGUGCGGGGUGGCAGAGGGAAGAUGGUAAACUGAAAUGUGGGUAUUCAAGUUUUAGAGGGAAAAGGGCUACAAUGGAGGAUUUCUAUGAUGUAAAAUUAACUGAAAUUGAUGGACACGCUGUUAGCCUAUUUGGUGUAUUCGAUGGUCAUGGGGGGUCACGUGCUGCUGAGUAUUUGAAGGAGCAUUUGUUCGAGAACCUUAUGAAACACCCCAAGUUCUUGACUGAUACAAAGCUUGCUAUAAGUGAAACAUAUCAGAAGACAGAUGCAGAUUUCUUAGAAUCAGAAUCAAGUGCUUUCAGGGAUGAUGGUUCCACAGCUUCGACUGCGGUUUUAGUGGGUGGCCAUCUAUAUGUAGCAAAUGUUGGUGACUCCCGUGCUGUUAUUUCAAAAGCCGGGAAAGCUAGGGCACUCUCAGUAGAUCACAAACCUAACAGGUCCGAUGAACGCAAGAGAAUUGAAAAUGCUGGAGGUGUUGUCAUCUGGGCUGGUACUUGGAGGGUAGGUGGCGUACUGGCAAUGUCCCGUGCGUUUGGUAAUCGUCUACUGAAGCCAUUUGUGGUGGCAGAACCUGAAAUUCAGGAAGAAUUGAUUAAUGGAGAAUUGGAGAGCCUGGUUCUUGCCAGUGAUGGGCUUUGGGAUGCCGUAGAAAAUGAGGAAGCUGUGUCCCUUGCAAAAACAGAAGAUGUGCCAGAGUCUGCGGCCAGGAAACUGACGGAGAUUGCCUACUCUCGUGGCAGCGCUGACAAUAUUACAUGCAUCGUGGUGCAAUUCCACCAUGAUAAAAUUGCAGGAUGA
Molecule: ribosomal RNA, 1077 nt
Filed under: Triticum aestivum (bread wheat)
Lineage: Eukaryota; Viridiplantae; Streptophyta; Magnoliopsida; Poales; Poaceae
Description: partial small subunit ribosomal RNA
Source: RNAcentral